Non-coding RNA from Schizosaccharomyces pombe (fission yeast), 1129 nucleotides. Lineage: Eukaryota; Fungi; Ascomycota; Schizosaccharomycetes; Schizosaccharomycetales; Schizosaccharomycetaceae. The record is from the annotation of a GenBank genome assembly.
UCGGAGGAUGGAUCCCAUUCAAUAAACCGUCUAUCAACUACACCUCUAACACCUUUCAGCUGAAGUUCCUUAACAAUCCCUUUACCAUUUAAAAACCUAGCAAAGCUAAACGAAACAUCUGCCUUAUCAAUGGAUAACUCAAAUUGAGUAUAGUUUCCCUGACUCAGAGCCUCAGUGUCAGGUUCCUCAUUAGAAUCAUAACGUUUUCGUAAAGCCAUGUACUCUUUUUCAUAAUCAGACUUAUUAUUCGGAUUUUGUGCUCCAAUGCCAUUCAAAGUAUCAGGUCUUCUAAUUACGGAAAUUUUGUUGAAUGUGAUUAAUCCUUUCCUCCAAUUGGGAACAAUUGCGCUUUCAAAGACGAAUUGGAACCCUGUAUUUUUUGUCAUUAACUGACCAAUCCAUCUUCCUAAUAGUUCCUGUGCAGAAACAGUGUUUAAGGUGUACAAUAACAAUGAAAAAAAAGUUGUUGUACCAACUACGAUCCAAACUAUAUGGCUCACAAGCCACCAACUGAAAAAGGCAGUAACAUUAUCCACUGUUAAGGGUUUGUUUUGCUUAAAAAGAAAGCUUUUCAUUUUUUUUAAUACGCGAAAUGGCAUUGCCCUUUUAACGCCGGAAGAUUGAUUUGAUUCAUUUUUGUUGAGAAUCUCAGGGUUUUCAACAUCUCCAGACGAGUAACUUCUAACCAUAGAUAUUUGCUUAAUAAUUACAGGUGUAGUACGGGACAAUAUCCCACUGUUUGAAAUAUUCCUAGCUGCUAGUCUAGGAAGAGUAGGAAAACUCUUGAAGCUGCUAGAUUGCAAAACGGUUUGCUUGAGUAAGGCAUUUUGAGUAGAAGCACGAACAUGAUAAGAAAUUAAAUAGGGCUUACGGGCCUGAACAAUCCUUGCUAUAUUCUUCGCAAGUCGUGAUUCGAGCAUCAACUUAUGAGGUCAAAUAAAUAAUACCUUCUCGAAAAGCACAAUUAGUGUAUAUAAUUACAGUCAAGACAAAUUAUUCUAUAUAUGCUUCUGUUUUAAAGAAAUAAACUGCCUGUAAUGAUAUAUUAUAAAAGUUUCAAUGCCUUUCCUGUAUAUGGUUGUCUGCAGAAAGAAAAUAGGAGAAUAACUAGCAAAGUUUACACUAAAAU